AUGACAACUGUAUGUUUGUUCUUUUGUUCUGUAACUAAACUCAGCUCUUCAGUCCUCUCACCCCUGCAGAAGUCCUCUCUGUCAUUAUUAUCUUCAGAUAGUGAAAACCAACAACGUAACUCCACUGGAAGAAGGCAUCCUGGCUGCUUGGCUGCAAAGCUGCUGUACAACCACGAUGCAAACCGAGCAUAUUCAGAGGGAGCCUCAGGCGUGGGAAGGGGAGCAGGUUUAUGUACCUGCAGAUAUUUUCUUUGCCUUAAGCUCACAGUGAAGCUGCAGUGGAAAAAGCAGAUGCUGGUUUUCCUCCCCAGCCUAAGAUGCUUCUCUGAACCUGAGCUAGAAGCACUCUGUCUAUUUGCUUGUGGUAUUUCCAGACCUGCUGAAGGCCUAGAAAGCGCAGCCGCUGAAACACACACACAAUUGCUUAUUCAGGCAGAGUUUGGUGUACUGGGAGACAAGUUGUUGGAAUAAACACAGCUGUGAUUUUUCCAUUACACUGAGUUCUCAUUUACUGGGUCAGUCAGCCACAUAGCUUGUCUGUGCAAAGGGGGUAAAUACGUGUCCUUGGGGAAUCACCAGGACUAUAGGACCUACUCUUGCAUGUCAUCUUGGGUAGGGUUCUCCAGUGUUUAAAUCAAAUAAAGCUGUGGUUAUAACUAUUACA
RNAcentral lists this long non-coding RNA (664 nucleotides) under Calidris pugnax (ruff). Its description in RNAcentral is "lncRNA (ENSCPUG00000007536.1)". Lineage: Eukaryota; Metazoa; Chordata; Aves; Charadriiformes; Scolopacidae. The record is from RNAcentral.